AAUUGAGUGGCUAAGCGGUUAAGGCGGAGGAUUUAAACUCCUCUUCUCGAGAGAGAGAGUGUAGGUUCGAACUCUACCUCUAUUA
This 85-nucleotide transfer RNA is filed under the name Thermothielavioides terrestris NRRL 8126. RNAcentral's name for it is "tRNA-Leu (TAA) (tRNA-Leu-TAA-4-1)". It matches the Rfam family "tRNA". Rfam says of the family: Transfer RNA (tRNA) molecules are approximately 80 nucleotides in length. The record is from RNAcentral. Lineage: Eukaryota; Fungi; Ascomycota; Sordariomycetes; Sordariales; Chaetomiaceae.